UGAGUGGCGGACGGGUGAGUAACGCGUGGGCAACCUGGCCUGUACAGGGGGAUAACACUUAGAAAUAGGUGCUAAUACCGCAUAACGGGAGAAGCCGCAUGGCUUUUUCCUGAAAACUCCGGUGGUACAGGAUGGGCCCGCGUCUGAUUAGCCAGUUGGGCAGGGUAACGGCCUACCAAAGCGACGAUCAGUAGCCGGCCUGAGAGGGUGGACGGCCACAUUGGGACUGAGACACGGCCCAAACUCCUACGGGAGGCAGCAG
RNAcentral lists this ribosomal RNA (262 nucleotides) under uncultured bacterium. RNAcentral's name for it is "partial 16S ribosomal RNA". It matches the Rfam family "Bacterial small subunit ribosomal RNA", at positions 92 to 354 of the family's 1533-position model. The record is from RNAcentral.